RNAcentral lists this ribosomal RNA (465 nucleotides) under Vreelandella stevensii. RNAcentral describes it as "partial 16S ribosomal RNA". It matches the Rfam family "Bacterial small subunit ribosomal RNA", at positions 338 to 795 of the family's 1533-position model. Lineage: Bacteria; Pseudomonadati; Pseudomonadota; Gammaproteobacteria; Oceanospirillales; Halomonadaceae. The record is from RNAcentral.
CCUACGGGUGGCUGCAGUGGGGAAUAUUGGACAAUGGGCGAAAGCCUGAUCCAGCCAUGCCGCGUGUGUGAAGAAGGCCUUCGGGUUGUAAAGCACUUUCAGUGGGGAAGAAAGCCUUGGGGCUAAUACCCUCGAGGAAGGACAUCACCCACAGAAGAAGCACCGGCUAACUCCGUGCCAGCAGCCGCGGUAAUACGGAGGGUGCGAGCGUGAAUCGGAAUUACUGGGCGUAAAGCGCGCGUAGGCGGUCUGAUAAGCCGGUUGUGAAAGCCCCGGGCUCAACCUGGGAACGGCAUCCGGAACUGUCAGGCUAGAGUGCAGGAGAGGAAGGUAGAAUUCCCGGUGUAGCGGUGAAAUGCGUAGAGAUCGGGAGGAAUACCAGUGGCGAAGGCGGCCUUCUGGACUGACACUGACGCUGAGGUGCGAAAGCGUGGGUAGCAAACAGGAUUAGAUACCCGUGUAGUC